RNAcentral lists this unclassified non-coding RNA (196 nucleotides) under Phylloporus sp. Its description in RNAcentral is "partial contains small subunit ribosomal RNA, internal transcribed spacer 1, and 5.8S ribosomal RNA". The stretch from base 1 to 46 matches the Rfam family "Eukaryotic small subunit ribosomal RNA", at positions 1786 to 1831 of the family's 1831-position model. The record is from RNAcentral. Lineage: Eukaryota; Fungi; Basidiomycota; Agaricomycetes; Boletales; Boletaceae.
AAGUCGUAACAAGGUUUCCGUAGGUGAACCUGCGGAAGGAUCAUUUCCAUAACCAAGGGGAAACACUUCCUUUUGAAAACUGUGAACUGUUAUAUGCUAUAACUUAAAGCAAGCUACCCACGUAAUAUGCGCUAAUUCCGAAAGGAAGCAUUAGCAAAAAAGGAUACAACUUUUAACAAUGGAUCUCUUGGCUCUU